This is a long non-coding RNA of Acyrthosiphon pisum (pea aphid), 1223 nucleotides long. RefSeq lists it as uncharacterized. The record is from RefSeq and is a predicted model, not a curated record. NCBI's taxonomy places the organism in Eukaryota, Metazoa, Arthropoda, Insecta, Hemiptera, Aphididae. The transcript is spliced from 5 exons.
ACCAUUAUGUUCGUCUAGCAUACAAUGUGACAUACCAUUCAUUAUUAGUAGUACACCAUCCAACAGGACUUAUACAACUUUUAGUGAUUUGGAAAUAUCGAAUGUGGAAAGUCACGAGCUUAUUACUUGCAGUGAGAAUGAUUAUAGAAAUCCUUGUGGAAAUAAUGUACCAUCCACUACAGAACCUACAAUAAUAUCUUCAAUAACUGAAGGACCAUCAACUAUAAACGUAGACAGUUGUACUAGUCAUACUAAUAAAUCCCAUGUAUGUCUUCCAAUACAUUUCUAUCGGUUCAAGAAGAUAUUAGUCAACAAAUUCAUACAAUCGCUGAAAGGGAAAUGGAAAUAGCUGGUGAGGAAGAGAGACAGUUGGCCAUAGAGAUCGGGUUCAAUUGAUACAGAUGGGUACGCCAAUGUGUACUGUAGUGGUUGACGGGCAAUGGUCAAAAAGAAGCUAUAAGACUAAUUAUGACCAAUUGUCUGGCGUAGCAACCAUUAUUGGGUAUAAAUCAAAAAAAAUUUUGUUCAUUGGAAUUCGUAACCGGUAUUGUGCCGUUUGUCAAAGAGCGAAAAAUAAAGAUAUACCCAAACCUGAGCAUUCUUGUUUUUUAAACUGGUCAAAAGGAGCUACAAGUAUGGAAGCAGAUUCAAUUGCAAAAGGUUUUUAGCGAAGUAUGGAAUUACAUGGAUUGAAAUACAAUAAACUAAUAGGUGAUGGUGAUUCUAGUGUGACAAAAAGGCUCUCUGAGAUUAUGCCUUAUGGUCCUAAAUUUCAUAUUCAAAAAAUAGAAUGCCGUAAUCAUUUGUUACGAAAUUGCGGAACAAAAUUAUCAUUACUAGCCAAAAACAUCAGACAUCCUUAUACCUGAAUUUAGAAAACAUAUUCAAAGUAAUAUAAUAAGAUUCAGAAAUGCAGUUGUUAAAUCAAUUGAAUAUCGCAACAAAUUAAUCAACCAAUCUGACAGUGAUAAACGUUUAGGUUUACGUAAGGAUAUUUUGAACAGUUUUUACCAUAUUUUGGGUUCCCAUGCUUGGUGUGAAGACUAUUUCUGCAACGGGCCCAAAUUAAACGAGCAAAACUUUGUUGAUGACGCAGAAAAAUCGAAAGUUAUAGACAAAAUUACGCAGUUGGCUAAUCGAUUAGUAGCUCAUGACGACAGUUUACUAAUGAAUGUGGAUAACAAUGUUUGUGAGCAAUUUAAUAGUAUAAUAAACAAGCAUUU